GCUGCGCGGUCCUUUCCAUUCUGAGGAUGCUACAGUGCCACAGGUACCGGUGAAUGGUCUUUAAUUUUGUUAAUUAUUUUUUCAAUUAUAUUAUGUACCCUAAAACACAGUUUAGUGCUUUAUAUUUAUAUUUGCUUAAAACUCCGACGUUAACGCUAAUUCAAGACCUGCAAAAUGACACCGCAGCACUUAUGGCCUCGCCCUCGCCUUUAGUCCAUAGAUCAACAUGCUUAAUCGAAUAUGACUUGAUAAUAUUGCGUUAAUCGUUUUGCAGAUCAUAUCUUGAACUGAACAAUGAUGUUUUGGGAAACCAAAUUUCAAAGAAUGUGCCGAAGUUGCAGCAAUUUCCCAAUUUGGUGGGAGGAACAGACGUUGCCAGGUAGCUGAUGUCAACAGCUUACAACCAAUGGAUUAGUUGGGAGGAACAGGCGUUGCCAGGUAUCUGAUGUCAACAGCUUACAACCAAUAGGUUGGAUUCCAGCAGAAUGGUUAAUCGCUACAGUUGAUGACUACUGGGUUUUCAGCAAACGGUUUGAAGCCAAUAUGGAUGUUGUCUCCAGCCCAUGAAGCUACAUAAGGUUGACGUUAUGCCAGAAGUAUGUGCCAAUGAUGGGCAUAUUCCUUUGAAUGCACAGACCUGUCACUCUGACAGAGGUUUAUGCCAUGGCAGAAGAGUUGUGGUGACCGGUUUGGAGCACGAUGUUGAACAGUCAAGCUUUGUAGUAUUGUGUAUCAUAACUUGAACACUUGUUUCAGUGUCAUUGUAUAUCAUUCUCAGGACAGUUUGAGAAAGUAACUGCUUGUUUUUGACUUCUCGGUUCUUUGUAUACUUUUUUUUUAUUUUUUUUUUAUUGACACUGCUUUUACGUUUAAUAAAAAUCACUGUUAC
Molecule: long non-coding RNA, 889 nt
Organism: Sinocyclocheilus rhinocerous
Lineage: Eukaryota; Metazoa; Chordata; Actinopteri; Cypriniformes; Cyprinidae
Exons: 7
Source: RefSeq, a predicted model, not a curated record